This 63-nucleotide transfer RNA is filed under the name Cryphalus abietis. RNAcentral's name for it is "tRNA-Pro". Lineage: Eukaryota; Metazoa; Arthropoda; Insecta; Coleoptera; Curculionidae. The record is from RNAcentral. RNAcentral also lists the same sequence under 1 other name.
CAGAAAAUAGUUUAUUUAAAAUGGUAAUUUUGGAGAUUAUAGAAAAGGGUUCCUUUUUUCUGA